GACGAACGCUUUCGGCGUGCUUAACACAUGCAAGUCGAACGGAAAGGCCCUGCUUUUGUGGGGUGCUCGAGUGGCGAACGGGUGAGUAACACGUGAGUAACCUGCCCUUGACUUUGGGAUAACUUCAGGAAACUGGGGCUAAUACCGGAUAGGAGCUCCUGCUGCAUGGUGGGGGUUGGAAAGUUUCGGCGGUUGGGGAUGGACUCGCGGCUUAUCAGCUUGUUGGUGGGGUAGUGGCUUACCAAGGCUUUGACGGGUAGCCGGCCUGAGAGGGUGACCGGCCACAUUGGGACUGAGAUACGGCCCAGACUCCUACGGGAGGCAGCAGUGGGGAAUAUUGCACAAUGGGCGGAAGCCUGAUGCAGCAACGCCGCGUGCGGGAUGACGGCCUUCGGGUUGUAAACCGCUUUCGCCUGUGACGAAGCGUGAGUGACGGUAAUGGGUAAAGAAGCACCGGCUAACUACGUGCCAGCAGCCGCGGUGAUACGUAGGGUGCGAGCGUUGUCCGGAUUUAUUGGGCGUAAAGGGCUCGUAGGUGGUUGAUCGCGUCGGAAGUGUAAUCUUGGGGCUUAACCCUGAGCGUGCUUUCGAUACGGGUUGACUUGAGGAAGGUAGGGGAGAGUGGAAUUCCUGGUGGAGCGGUGGAAUGCGCAGAUAUCAGGAGGAACACCAGUGGCGAAGGCGGUUCUCUGGGCCUUUCCUGACGCUGAGGAGCGAAAGCGUGGGGAGCGAACAGGCUUAGAUACCCUGGUAGUCCACGCUGUAAACGGUGGGUACUAGGUGUGGGGUCCAUUCCACGGGUUCCGUGCCGUAGCUAACGCUUUAAGUACCCCGCCUGGGGAGUACGGCCGCAAGGCUAAAACUCAAAGGAAUUGACGGGGCCCCGCACAAGCGGCGGAGCAUGCGGAUUAAUUCGAUGCAACGCGUAGAACCUUACCUGGGUUUGACAUGGAUCGGGAGUGCUCAGAGAUGGGUGUGCCUCUUUUGGGGUCGGUUCACAGGUGGUGCAUGGCUGUCGUCAGCUCGUGUCGUGAGAUGUUGGGUUAAGUCCCGCAACGAGCGCAACCCUUGUUCACUGUUGCCAGCACGUUAUGGUGGGGACUCAGUGGAGACCGCCGGGGUCAACUCGGAGGAAGGUGGGGAUGACGUCAAGUCAUCAUGCCCCUUAUGUCCAGGGCUUCACGCAUGCUACAAUGGCUGGUACAGAGAGUGGCGAGCCUGUGAGGGUGAGCGAAUCUCGGAAAGCCGGUCUCAGUUCGGAUUGGGGUCUGCAACUCGACCUCAUGAAGUCGGAGUCGCUAGUAAUCGCAGAUCAGCAACGCUGCGGUGAAUACGUUCCCGGGGCU
RNAcentral lists this ribosomal RNA (1346 nucleotides) under uncultured bacterium. Its description in RNAcentral is "partial 16S ribosomal RNA". It matches the Rfam family "Bacterial small subunit ribosomal RNA", at positions 28 to 1381 of the family's 1533-position model. The record is from RNAcentral.